AUUGAACGCUGGCGGCAUGCCUUACACAUGCAAGUCGAACGGCAGCGGACCUUCGGGUGCCGGCGAGUGGCGAACGGGUGAGUAAUAUAUCGGAACGUACCUUUCAGUGGGGGAUAACGUAGCGAAAGUUACGCUAAUACCGCAUAUUCUGUGAGCAGGAAAGCAGGGGAUCGCAAGACCUUGCGCUGAUUGAGCGGCCGAUAUCAGAUUAGCUAGUUGGUGAGGUAAAGGCUCACCAAGGCGACGAUCUGUAGCGGGUCUGAGAGGAUGAUCCGCCACACUGGAACUGAGACACGGUCCAGACUCCUACGGGAGGCAGCAGUGGGGAAUUUUGGACAAUGGGCGCAAGCCUGAUCCAGCCAUGCCGCGUGAGUGAAGAAGGCCUCGG
RNAcentral lists this ribosomal RNA (388 nucleotides) under uncultured bacterium. Its description in RNAcentral is "bacterial SSU rRNA". It matches the Rfam family "Bacterial small subunit ribosomal RNA", at positions 30 to 420 of the family's 1533-position model. The record is from RNAcentral.